This is a non-coding RNA of Triticum urartu, 1837 nucleotides long. The record is from RefSeq and is a predicted model, not a curated record. Lineage: Eukaryota; Viridiplantae; Streptophyta; Magnoliopsida; Poales; Poaceae.
UGUAUUCAACCAAUCAGUGUCUUGAGAUAACAGAUAGGAUGUCAAAGAUUCUAGUUGGUAAAGAACCUGAAGGGGUAUGCAAUGAAGGGCCUAUUCUUUCUACAAAGGAUCUUUUAGCAAAGACCGAAGAUAUGAUGAUAAGGUGUAACAUCAAUCAGAGGAAGGGGGAUCAUAAAUUUAACCGCAAAACCUUAGUCGUAGCAUUUGAGGUUGCUGAAGCUGAAGGCGUGAACGUAGUAUUGACAAAAGUCGAACAAGAUAAUGAGAUGAAACCAAGGACUGUCAAAGCUUUGGUAAACAGUUUGUGCCCUGCGAUUUUGCUAGCAUAGCCCAGAAACUUGCAGAUGGUAUCCCUCAGGUUGGCAGCUUUCUUUCGGGAAAGAAGUUGUACAACCUUAAGCAUGGUCAGAUAUACAAGGCCCCAGGGAUGCCAGAAGACGAGAAUCACAAAAAAAAGGUGGUAUGGCAUGCUGUUGUUCGUAUUGGGGCAGGCAAAAGAAGAAAGAAAUAUUUUUAUCAUUUUGUGAACUCACUAGGUGUUAAGUUUUGCCUGAGGAUACCUAUAAAUCCAUCUCCAAGACCUAAAUCCACAUGGGUUGGAGGAGUCCAGUGUGGAAAGUCUAAACAGUUUCCGGGUGGAUUUGGGAAGGUUCGCGCCAGUGAUGUCAUGCUGGAUACAUUGCAAUUUGUUAGAUAUCCAGACUCCAACACACAGAAACAGCCUUGGGUCUCGUUUAAUUACUGUGCUGUCCGUAAGUUUUGAUUGAGCUUUGCUCCUUUUGUUUGAUCAUAUUGGUUUCCUUGUGUGAUACUUCAUAUUUGUUUUCAUAAUUUAAGCCUGCUGAAGGAUUAGCAUAUGCCCAACGAUUGAAGUUGGAGUUAGUAUUGGAGUUGCUCCCAUGUACUGUUUUGCUUUGCAUGUUAGUUGGUAGACUAGUGUUACACAUGCAUGUGGACUGGCCGUACAUCUUUCAUGAAUACUAUAAUGAUAUAUCUUGGCAACAGAAAGACAACACCAGAAUAAGAAGCCCAUAUUAUGAAUAUGUUUUGUUUUUCCAUUCAACUUUCAUUUUUGGCAUGAAUGUAAUUUUGAACAUAAGCUGGAAAAAAACCCAUAUCAGUUGAAAUAUUCUAGUUAGUAUGUGGCUUCUCUGUUCUUCAGAGAGAGCGAUAAAAUGCCUUAUAUGAUUUUGGUAGUGUAUUUUGGCUGAAUGUUUGAAUAGUAUGUGGCUUUUAUGAAGCAGGUUGAAGUAGGCAGCCAGAAAGCUUCAGUUAGUGGUUCCCAGAUUUCGGAUGCUGGGCCUUCUGAAAUGGAUUUACCAAGAGUUAUCUGACUUCACAUGAACAAUCAGCAAUAUCUGUAUCCGAGGCCAAACGCGGCACUUCAUUAUUUCUUGCACUUCGCACAAAGUGACCAUGCUAAUGCUGCAACAUUUGCAAUAUUGUUUUGAUGAAAUGGUGGGGCAAAAUUGCGAAGGAUUCAAUUCCGAGGAGAAAAAAGCUUGACUGCCAGCAUGAAGAUGAGCGAUUACCUCAGAGCAGCCCUAGGAGAAGGAAACCAUGUCUGGUUUUGAAAACAGAACAAGCAGAAGAAAAAAAAGGUGGUGUACAGUCUUGUUGCUUGAUUGUUUGAUCAAGUCUAUCCGGAGUACUGAGUACGUGGCCUGUAUAAUUCUGGAAUGCUUGUUAUGUGUCCUUGGGCAUCUUAAUAUUUGAUAUGGCGUCGAGCCAAGUCGCGGAGCAGUAGCUAGAUUUCUUGUUUUCAGAAAGUGACUGGACUUCUCAUUGCUCAAGUAUAAUCUAUUUCAUUAUGUCUUACCUGAGAUCUCACGUUGUA